CAUUCCCCUUCAUGCACGAACAAUGUUUUCAAAAGCAAUCAUGAAUAAGAAGCGCCAUCUUAUAAUAGCCCGUGAAAACAAAAUUUCAAACUAUGGCCAAAGAGUUCAUUAUUCGUUCCUCUUCCAAGCAUCAACUGUUAACAGGAAAAAUAUAUAGAACGGAUCAUCUCCUCUCCUGGCUCUCGUUCUGAUUCUGAUACAAAAUAGCCUCCACUGGCCAAUCAUCGACCAGGUAAUCUUGCUGUUGCUGGUAGUCAUCAUAUUGACUUUGGCGCUGCCAUUGCCCAGCGCCGUGGCUUUGACGAGGGUCGGAAGUAAGUGUAGAACUUGCCACUGGCGGUUGAUGAUUCAUGUAACUAUAUCUCGCCCGUUGACUGGGAAGAUAAUCCCUAUCCGUUGCAUGAGGUUUCACAUUGUUAUGGCUAUUUUCGGGAGGGAUGAUAUCGAAGGAUGGGAUGGGAGCCUGAGGAUGUUGGUGGUGGUUUUGACCCUCGCCAAGACCUUGAUUGCUGCUCGAUAAGUAGGCGUCAAGUUCAGAAUGGCCGUAACCUUCUUGCCGUUCGUUACCUCCAUUAAUAUCGUUAUUGUAAUCAUGGACAUCGCCUGCAGAUAAUACGCCA
This 620-nucleotide small RNA is filed under the name Histoplasma capsulatum var. duboisii H88. RNAcentral describes it as "Histoplasma capsulatum H88 hypothetical RNA". The record is from RNAcentral. Lineage: Eukaryota; Fungi; Ascomycota; Eurotiomycetes; Onygenales; Ajellomycetaceae.